GGGCUCGUAGCUCAGUGGCAGAGCGCUUGCAUCACACGCAAGAAGUCGUUGGUUCAAAUCCAAUCGAGCCCA
Non-coding RNA from Candidatus Wildermuthbacteria bacterium, 72 nucleotides. NCBI's taxonomy places the organism in Bacteria, Candidatus Wildermuthiibacteriota. The record is from Rfam.